This 300-nucleotide ribosomal RNA is filed under the name uncultured bacterium. RNAcentral's name for it is "bacterial SSU rRNA". It matches the Rfam family "Bacterial small subunit ribosomal RNA", at positions 775 to 1067 of the family's 1533-position model. The record is from RNAcentral.
GGAUUAGAUACCCUGGUAGUCCACGCCGUAAACGAUGUCAACUAGAUGUAGGGGGUGUUGAUCCCCUCUGUGUCGCAGCUAACGCAUUAAGUUGACCGCCUGGGGAGUACGGUCGCAAGAUUAAAACUCAAAGAAAUUGACGGGGGCCCGCACAAGCGGUGGAGUAUGUGGUUUAAUUCGAUGCAACGCGAAGAACCUUACCUGGUCUUGACAUCCCGGGAAUCUUCUGGAAACAGAAGAGUGCCUUCAUUAGAAGGAGCCUGGUGACAGGUGCUGCAUGGCUGUCGUCAGCUCGUGCCG